Non-coding RNA from Ailuropoda melanoleuca (giant panda), 73 nucleotides. The record is from Rfam. NCBI's taxonomy places the organism in Eukaryota, Metazoa, Chordata, Mammalia, Carnivora, Ursidae.
GCCUGGCAGGCUCAGUGGGUAGAGCACGUGACUCCUGAUCUUGGGGUUGUAAGUUAAAACCCCACGUUGGGUG